UGGGGAAUAUUGGACAAUGGAGGAAACUCUGAUCCAGCAAUUCUGUGUGUGUGAAGAAGGUUUUAGGACUGUAAAACACUUUUAGUAGGGAAGAAAAAAAUGACGGUACCUACAGAAGAAGCAACGGCUAAAUACGUGCCAGCAGCCGCGGUAAUACGUAUGUUGCGAGCGUUAUCCGGAAUUAUUGGGCUUAAAGGGCAUCUAGGCGGUAAGACAAGUUGAAGGUGAAAACCUGUGGCUCAACCAUAGGCUUGCCUACAAAACUGUUGAACUAGAGUACUGGAAAGGAGGGUGGAACUACGCGAGUAGAGAUGAAAAUCGUAGAUAUGUGUAGGAAUGCCGAUGAUGAAGAUAACUCACUGAACCGAAACUGACGCUGAAGUGCGAAAGCUAGGUGAGCAAACAGG
This 407-nucleotide ribosomal RNA is filed under the name Verrucomicrobiota bacterium. RNAcentral's name for it is "Verrucomicrobia bacterium partial 16S ribosomal RNA". It matches the Rfam family "Bacterial small subunit ribosomal RNA", at positions 355 to 776 of the family's 1533-position model. The record is from RNAcentral. Lineage: Bacteria; Pseudomonadati; Verrucomicrobiota.